This 294-nucleotide long non-coding RNA is filed under the name Vigna radiata. Its description in RNAcentral is "long non-coding RNA (VRAD_LNC006206)". Lineage: Eukaryota; Viridiplantae; Streptophyta; Magnoliopsida; Fabales; Fabaceae. The record is from RNAcentral.
GACAUAAAGCCAUUAGGAGCAACUUCAGAUAGUUGGGAUAUCUGAAUUGUUUGGGAUGCAUACUCCAUGUCCUGGGGGUUUUGUGCUACAUUACAUGUUGUGGUUACCUGAGUGCAUAAAGUAACACGCAUUACCAACACGUAACAGAAGAUAACAAUAUUUGUUAUUAAACACGGUCAUAAAAAUCCAUACCAACAAAACCGAGACCUUCAAACCAUGGAAACAUCCCUCGUACAACAACAAUAUUCAUAACACAACAUUCAUAAACACAAUCAUAUGUCAUCCAACCUGCAC